Molecule: ribosomal RNA, 273 nt
Filed under: Rhodopseudomonas sp. SD7
Lineage: Bacteria; Pseudomonadati; Pseudomonadota; Alphaproteobacteria; Hyphomicrobiales; Nitrobacteraceae
Description: partial 16S ribosomal RNA
Rfam family: Bacterial small subunit ribosomal RNA
Source: RNAcentral
GCGUGGGAACGUACCUUUUGGUUCGGAACAACUGAGGGAAACUUCAGCUAAUACCGGAUAAGCCCUUACGGGGAAAGAUUUAUCGCCGAAAGAUCGGCCCGCGUCUGAUUAGCUAGUUGGUGAGGUAAUGGCUCACCAAGGCGACGAUCAGUAGCUGGUCUGAGAGGAUGAUCAGCCACAUUGGGACUGAGACACGGCCCAAACUCCUACGGGAGGCAGCAGUGGGGAAUAUUGGACAAUGGGGGCGACCCUGAUCCAGCCAUGCCGCGUGAG